RNAcentral lists this ribosomal RNA (460 nucleotides) under uncultured bacterium. RNAcentral's name for it is "partial 16S ribosomal RNA". It matches the Rfam family "Bacterial small subunit ribosomal RNA", at positions 338 to 795 of the family's 1533-position model. The record is from RNAcentral.
CCUACGGGGGGCAGCAGUGAGGAAUAUUGGUCAAUGGGCGGAAGCCUGAACCAGCCAAGUCGCGUGAGGGAUUAAGGCCCUGCGGGUCGUAAACCUCUUUUGCCGGGGAGCAGUGGUCCGGACGAGUCCGGGCCGGGAGAGUACCCGGAGAAAAAGCAUCGGCUAACUCCGUGCCAGCAGCCGCGGUCAUACGGAGGAUGCGAGCGUUAUCCGGAUUUAUUGGGUUUAAAGGGUGCGUAGGCGGGCAUUUAAGCCGGCGGUCAAAUGUCGGGGCUCAACCCCGGCCUGCCGGCGGAACUGGGUGCCUUGAGUGGGCGAGAAGUAUGCGGAAUGCGUGGUGUAGCGGUGAAAUGCAUAGAUAUCACGCAGAACCCCGAUUGCGAAGGCAGCAUACCGGCGCCCGACUGACGCUGAGGCACGAAAGUGCGGGUAUCGAACAGGAUUAGAUACCCCGGUAGUC